Molecule: ribosomal RNA, 427 nt
Filed under: uncultured bacterium
Lineage: Bacteria
Description: partial 16S ribosomal RNA
Rfam family: Bacterial small subunit ribosomal RNA
Source: RNAcentral
UGGGGAAUUUUGGACAAUGGGCGAAAGCCUGAUCCAGCAAUGCCGCGUGAGUGAAGAAGGCCUUCGGGUUGUAAAGCUCUUUUGUCAGGGAAGAAACGGUGAGGGCUAAUAUCCCUUGCUAAUGACGGUACCUGAAGAAUAAGCACCGGCUAACUACGUGCCAGCAGCCGCGGUAAUACGAAGGGUGCAAUCGUUAAUCGGAAUUACUGGGCGUAAAGCGUGCGCAGGCGGUUUUGUAAGUCUGAUGUGAAAUCCCCGGGCUCAACCUGGGAAUUGCAUUGGAGACUGCAAGGCUAGAAUCUGGCAGAGGGGGGUAGAAUUCCACGUGUAGCAGUGAAAUGCGUAGAUAUGUGGAGGAACACCGAUGGCGAAGGCAGCCCCCUGGGUCAAGAUUGACGCUCAUGCACGAAAGCGUGGGGAGCAAACA